UCCAGACUCCUACGGGAGGCAGCAGUGAGGAAUAUUGGUCAAUGGGCGGGAGCCUGAACCAGCCAAGUCGCGUGAGGGAUGACGGCCCUACGGGUUAUAAACCUCUUUUGCCGGGGAGCAAAGAGCGGGACGCGUCCCGCCUCGAGAGUACCCGGAGAAAAAGCAUCGGCCAACUCCGUGCCAGCAGCCGCGGUAAUACGGAGGAUGCGAGCGUUAUCCGGAUUUAUUGGGUUUAAAGGGUGCGCAGGCGGAAGCGCAAGUCAGCGGUAAAAUUGAGGGGCUCAACCUCGCUCCGCCGUUGAAACUGGCGUUCUUGAGUGGGCGAGAAGUAUGCGGAAUGCGUGGUGUAGCGGUGAAAUGCAUAGAUAUCACGCAGAACUCCGAUUGCGAAGGCAGCAUACCGGCGCUCAACUGACGCUCAUGCACGAAAGUGUGGGUAUCGAACAGGAUUAGAUACCCCUGUA
Molecule: ribosomal RNA, 464 nt
Filed under: uncultured bacterium
Lineage: Bacteria
Description: bacterial SSU rRNA
Rfam family: Bacterial small subunit ribosomal RNA
Source: RNAcentral